CUUGAGUGUUUCAAAACUUUCCUGUAACAGAUAUUAGUUUACUAUUGCAUCUUGUUUCCUUUAAUUUUCUGAAGGUGUUGUUGCUUGUUGAUGUAAAAUUCAGAGUUUCCCUAAAGAAUAACUUAUUAAUCCUUUCAACUUAUUUUUCUGCUGUAGGUUUCAUUUAAUUUGCUUGAGAAGUACUUGGAAGCACACUCAAAGGCCUCCAUGUGGGAAAAUGAGCUCCUGGAUGUAGGCUACCAGCCUUUGUGCAUCCAAAUUCCCUACACAGUAAGGCUCUUAAUUUUGAACUAAGAACUCCAGCCUCACGUUUUGUUUCCUUAGUUGCUGGAAGCAUUUCAACCAGGAAAAAGGGGAGCUGUCGUGGGAUUAGUGGAAGAGAAGCAUUUCAUUCUCCUUUCUUAGAUGGAUGGUAACGUUGCAGAAGAAAAAGCUGAUUUAUUUGAGUUGAAAGAACUUGCACAAGGUGUCAAAUUAUUUUCUUUCUUUGAUGAAAGAGGAGAGCACGGUCAUUGAAAGUAAGUGGGGUCACGGCUUGAGUUGGUGUAGCUGCCAUGUGGAGAAGAAUUCAUCCACUUUAGAAAGCAAAAGUGGAAGGGUGGUUGGUGAUUUACGUGAAGAAAAGAGAAGUCGCUUACAUGAUGCAUAUUUCUUUUAUUUCUGAGUUGGUGCAGCAUGGAGAGAAGAGAAGCACACUUUCAUUUGUUUAGAAUACUUUCAAAUUUUUUAUUCCAGCUUAGGAGUAGUUUUAGUUUAUUUUAUUUGCUGCCAAUUAUUUUCGAAACCUAUGUCUUAUUUUUGAUAAAUGAUGAAAUUUUUCAGUGAA
Molecule: long non-coding RNA, 826 nt
Organism: Vigna angularis (adzuki bean)
Lineage: Eukaryota; Viridiplantae; Streptophyta; Magnoliopsida; Fabales; Fabaceae
Exons: 3
Source: RefSeq, a predicted model, not a curated record